GUCGAGCGGUAACACAGAGGAGCUUGCUCCUUGGGUGACGAGCGGCGGACGGGUGAGUAAAGUCUGGGGAUCUGCCUGAUGGAGGGGGAUAACUACUGGAAACGGUAGCUAAUACCGCAUGACGUCUUCGGACCAAAGUGGGGGACCUUCGGGCCUCACGCCAUGAGAUGAACCCAGAUGGGAUUAGCUGGUAGGUGAGGUAACGGCUCACCUAGGCGACGAUCCCUAGCUGGUCUGAGAGGAUGACCAGCCACACUGGAACUGAGACACGGUCCAGACUCCUACGGGAGGCAGCAGUGGGGAAUAUUGCACAAUGGGGGAAACCCUGAUGCAGCCAUGCCGCGUGUGUGAAGAAGGCCUUCGGGUUGUAAAGCACUUUCAGCGGGGAGGAAGGCAAUAAACUUAAUAAGUUUGUUGAUUGACGUUACCCGCAGAAGAAGCACCGGCUAACUCCGUGCCAGCAGCCGCGGUAAUACGGAGGGUGCAAGCGUUAAUCGGAAUGACUGGGCGUAAAGCGCACGCAGGCGGUCUGUUAAGUUGGAUGUGAAAUCCCCGGGCUCAACCCGGGAACAGCAUUCAAAACUGACAGGCUAGAGUCUCGUAGAGGGGGGUAGAAUUCCAGGUGUAGCGGUGAAAUGCGUAGAGAUCUGGAGGAAUACCGGUGGCGAAGGCGGCCCCCUGGACGAAGACUGACGCUCAGGUGCGAAAGCGUGGGGAGCAAACAGGAUUAGAUACCCUGGUAGUCCACGCCGUAAACGAUGUCGACUUGGAGGCUGUGGUCUUGAACCGUGGCUUCCGGAGCUAACGCGUUAAGUCGACCGCCUGGGGAGUACGGCCGCAAGGUUAAAACUCAAAUGAAUUGACGGGGGCCCGCACAAGCGGUGGAGCAUGUGGUUUUAAUUCGAUGCAACGCGAAGAACCUUACCUACUCUUGACAUCCAGAGAAGACUGUAGAGAUACGGUUGUGCCUUCGGGAGCUCUGAGACAGGUGCUGCAUGGCUGUCGUCAGCUCGUGUUGUGAAAUGUUGGGUUAAGUCCCGCAACGAGCGCAACCCUUAUCCUUUGUUGCCAGCGAUACGGUCGGGAACUCAAAGGAGACUGCCGGUGAUAAACCGGAGGAAGGUGGGGAUGACGUCAAGUCAUCAUGGCCCUUACGAGUAGGGCUACACACGUGCUACAAUGGCGCAUACAAAGAGAAGCGAGCCUGCGAGGGUGAGCGGACCUCAUAAAGUGCGUCGUAGUCCGGAUUGGAGUCUGCAACUCGACUCCAUGAAGUCGGAAUCGCUAGUAAUCGUAGAUCAGAAUGCUACGGUGAAUACGUUCCCGGGCCUUGUACACACCGCCCGUCACACCAUGGGAGUGGGUUGCAAAAGAAGUAGGUAGCUUAACCUUA
This 1393-nucleotide ribosomal RNA is filed under the name Brenneria salicis. RNAcentral describes it as "bacterial SSU rRNA". It matches the Rfam family "Bacterial small subunit ribosomal RNA". The record is from RNAcentral. Lineage: Bacteria; Pseudomonadati; Pseudomonadota; Gammaproteobacteria; Enterobacterales; Pectobacteriaceae.